GAGGGUGUAGCUCAGUGGUCAAGCACAUGCUUAGCAUGCACAAGGUCCUGGGUUCAAUCCCUAGUACCUCCA
Molecule: transfer RNA, 72 nt
Filed under: Camelus bactrianus (Bactrian camel)
Lineage: Eukaryota; Metazoa; Chordata; Mammalia; Artiodactyla; Camelidae
Also listed under: 2 other names
Rfam family: tRNA
About the family: Transfer RNA (tRNA) molecules are approximately 80 nucleotides in length. Their secondary structure includes four short double-helical elements and three loops (D, anti-codon, and T loops).
Source: Rfam by way of RNAcentral